This 462-nucleotide ribosomal RNA is filed under the name uncultured bacterium. Its description in RNAcentral is "bacterial SSU rRNA". It matches the Rfam family "Bacterial small subunit ribosomal RNA", at positions 29 to 491 of the family's 1533-position model. The record is from RNAcentral.
AGCGAACGUUUGCGGCGGGCCUAACACAUGCAAGUCGAACGGUAGUCUCUUCGGAGAUGAGAGUGGCGCACGGGUGCGUAACACGUGGGUAAUCUACCUUUGAGUUGGGGACAACCUUGGGAAACCAGGGCUAAUACCCGAUAGUUCCUUUUGAGGUGCGCCUUGGAAGGAUAAAGACCCGCAAGGGUUGCUCAGAGAUGAGCUCGCGGCCCAUCAGCUAGUUGGUGAGGUAAUGGCUCACCAAGGCAAAGACGGGUAACUGGUCUGAGAGGAUGAUCAGUCACACUGGAACUGAGACACGGUCCAGACUCCUACGGGAGGCAGCAGUGGGGAAUAUUGCGCAAUGGGCGAAAGCCUGACGCAGCCACGCCGCGUGAGCGAUGAAGGCCUCGGUCGUAAGCUCUGUGGGAGAGAGAAGAAAGUACGUGUGAAGAGCGGACCUUGACGGUAGUACUCCUUAGU